RNAcentral lists this ribosomal RNA (498 nucleotides) under uncultured bacterium. RNAcentral describes it as "partial 16S ribosomal RNA". It matches the Rfam family "Bacterial small subunit ribosomal RNA", at positions 28 to 507 of the family's 1533-position model. The record is from RNAcentral.
GACGAACGCUGGCGGCGUGCCUAAUACAUGCCAGUCGAACGAGAGCGACCGGUGCUUGCACUGGUCAAUCUAGUGGCGAACGGGUGAGUAACACGUGGGUAACCUGCCCAUCAGAGGGGGAUAACAUCCGGAAACGGAUGCUAAAACCGCAUAGGUCUUCGAACCGCAUGGUUUGAAGAGGAAAAGAGGCGCAAGCUUCUGCUGAUGGAUGGACCCGCGGUGCAUUAGCUAGUUGGUGAGGUAACGGCUCACCAAGGCCGUGAUGCAUAGCCGACCUGAGAGGGUGAGCGGCCACAUUGGGACUGAGACACGGCCCAAACUCCUACGGGAGGCAGCAGUAGGGAAUCUUCCGCAAUGGACGCAAGUCUGACGGAGCAACGCCGCGUGAGUGAAGAAGGUUUUCGGAUCGUAAAACCCUGUUGUUAGAGAAGAACAAGUGCUAGAGUAACUGUUAGCGCCUUGACGGUAUCUAACCAGAAAGCCACGGCUAACUACGUG